This 429-nucleotide ribosomal RNA is filed under the name Acidobacteriota bacterium. RNAcentral's name for it is "Acidobacteria bacterium partial 16S ribosomal RNA". It matches the Rfam family "Bacterial small subunit ribosomal RNA", at positions 355 to 776 of the family's 1533-position model. The record is from RNAcentral. Lineage: Bacteria; Pseudomonadati; Acidobacteriota.
UGGGGAAUUUUGGACAAUGGGGGAAACCCUGAUCCAGCCAUCCCGCGUGUGCGAUGAAGGCCUUCGGGUUGUAAAGCACUUUUGGCAGGAAAGAAACGUCAUGGGUUAAUACCCCGUGAAACUGACGGUACCUGCAGAAUAAGCACCGGCUAACUACGUGCCAGCAGCCGCGGUAAUACGUAGGGUGCAAGCGUUAAUCGGAAUUACUGGGCGUGAAGCGUGCGCAGGCGGUUCGGAAAGAAAGAUGUGAAAUCCCAGAGCUCAACUUUGGAACUGCAUUUUUAACUACCGGGCUAGAGUGUGUCAGAGGGAGGUGGAAUUCCGCGUGUAGCAGUGAAAUGCGUAGAUAUGCGGAGGAACACCGAUGGCGAAGGCAGCCUCCUGGGAUAACACUGACGCUCAUGCACGAAAGCGUGGGGAGCAAACAGG